AUGCAUGCCAAGGAGCUGGAUCUGCUAUCCGAGGCGAUGGUGAUCGUCAGAUCCUGGAUCGGCACAACCUUCAGAGACCGGUUGCUAGCCAGGAGUGUGACCACCUUGUACCUCAGUGUAAAUGUCACCACAGAGAUAGAGAUGUGGAACAACAUAAUCUCUCUCAAGUUCGCCAAUGACGAUUUCACAAAAGAAUGGAGACAAACGUUCACUAGGGACUUGGAGGGCAAAUUGAAACAGGAGUCUCCUCUGGAUCAGAUAGAGAUCUACUGUUCCAAGAUUGAGGUCCUGAAUGAAUCUCACCCUCACGUAGCCAAGACUAUCGAGAAAUGUGCCCUAGAAGCUGUCACCUCACUGUGCCAGGUAAGUAGACUGGUUACACUUGACUUAAAUACAGAUUCAAUAUACAGUACCAGUCAAGUUUGGACAAAACUACUCAUUCCAGGGUCUUUCUUGAUUUGCACUAUUUUCUACAUUGUAGAAUAAUACUGAAGACAUCAAAACUAUGAAAUAACACAUGGAAUCAUGUAGUAACCAAAAAAGUGUCAAACAAAUCAAAAAGCUGUCAUCAAGGAAAAGGGUGGCUACUUUGAAGA
Molecule: long non-coding RNA, 596 nt
Filed under: Oncorhynchus kisutch (coho salmon)
Lineage: Eukaryota; Metazoa; Chordata; Actinopteri; Salmoniformes; Salmonidae
Description: lncRNA (ENSOKIG00005044343.1)
Source: RNAcentral